Molecule: long non-coding RNA, 735 nt
Organism: Armigeres subalbatus
Lineage: Eukaryota; Metazoa; Arthropoda; Insecta; Diptera; Culicidae
Exons: 2
Source: RefSeq, a predicted model, not a curated record
GCGGCGAAAUUUACUUCUUCUUUUUUCAUCGAAAAUAAAUGCGCCAUGUUUUGACGUUUAUUUUAUCCUGAAGGAGUAAAAGAGACAAAGCAACAAUUUGCAAUUUCGAAAUAUUGUUUCUUGCUCUUACUUAUUAUUACAUUCCACAUUUGGCAUUUCGAAGAUUUUGGUUGGUUGGUCAUUAGUUCGAGUUUUCCUGGUUUUUCUUUCUCCUCGAAGUUCGGAAGCGCGAGUGGAAAAACGGUUGCAGCAGCAGCAGGAAAUCAAGGAUUGUCUUUGGGGACUGCAGCGACAACAUCUAUGCAGGAAGCGAUAGAUUAUUUUCAUUUAUCAUCACGUAGUUUAUGCUAUAAUCCGCGCCAGCUCAGUGCAAUGUCGAAGCGGCACUUCCACCAGAAACAUUUUGAAUGAUUGCAUGCGGCACAUCGUGGGCUUCAAUUAUUUGUCCUAAUAAUAUCGACGAAGAUCAAAGAUUGUACGGUCAACCGGACCAGCAGGAGGAUCAAUCUGGAUGAUGACAUGGGCGAGAACAUGGAGGAAGAAGCUGCACAAAGUGAUGAUUCUGCCAUUUCUCGGGCGGUGGUUUUACACGAGGACAAACGCUACUAUCUGGAGGUAUACGGAGAAGAAGUUGACACCAUCGUGCUAGAUAAACCUCUAAUUGGAGUAAACAAAUCGUACCCUCUAUCCACAAUCCAGUUUAGGAGUCCGGAAAUAUAUGUAUUCUGAGAUCUA